UCUUUUAAUUUAGGACUGGAAUGAAUGGUUUAACUUAUUUUUUCUGUCUCAUUUUAAUAUUUUAAAUUUUAUAUUUUAGUAAAAAAGCUAAGAUUUUAUUUUUAGACGAGAAGACCCUAUCAAGCUUUAUAAUUAAAUUUUAUUAUCAAAAUAAAAAUACAUUAUUUCGCUGGGGUAGCUAAUAAGAAGUUUUUUAUUUUAUUAUUGUGAUUUAUUAAUCUUGUAAAACCUAAAAUUUUUUAAAAAAAAAUAAGUUACUGUAGGGAUAACAGCAUAAUUUUUUUUAAGAGAUCUUAUCAUCAGAAAGAAGUUUAUGACCUCGAUGUUGGAUUAAGAAUACUCUAAUUUACGCAAAAGUUAAAAAAAGG
RNAcentral lists this ribosomal RNA (368 nucleotides) under aff. Alloscorpiops/Dasyscorpiops sp. 2 VO-2020. RNAcentral describes it as "partial large subunit ribosomal RNA". The record is from RNAcentral. Lineage: Eukaryota; Metazoa; Arthropoda; Arachnida; Scorpiones; Euscorpiidae.